RNAcentral lists this ribosomal RNA (497 nucleotides) under uncultured bacterium. Its description in RNAcentral is "partial 16S ribosomal RNA". It matches the Rfam family "Bacterial small subunit ribosomal RNA", at positions 28 to 507 of the family's 1533-position model. The record is from RNAcentral.
GAUGAACGCUGGCGGCGUGCCCAAUACAUGCAAGUCGAGCGAACGGACGAGAAGCUUGCUUCUCUGAUGUUAGCGGCGGACGGGUGAGUAACACGUGGAUAACCUACCUAUAAGACUGGGAUAACUUCGGGAAACCGUAGCUAAUACCGGAUAAUAUUUUGAACCGCAUGGUUCAAAAGUGAAAGACGGUCUUGCUGUCACUUAUAGAUGGAUCCGCGCUGCAUUAGCUAGUUGGUAAGGUAACGGCUUACCAAGGCAACGAUGCAUAGCCGACCUGAGAGGGUGAUCGGCCACACUGGAACUGAGACACGGUCCAGACUCCUACGGGAGGCAGCAGUAGGGAAUCUUCCGCAAUAGGCGAAAGCCUGACGGAGCAACGCCGCGUGAGUGAUGAAGGUCUUCGGAUCGUAAAACUCUGUUAUUAGGGAAGAACAUAUGUGUAAGUAACUGUGCACAUCUUGACGGUACCUAAUCAGAAAGCCACGGCUAACUACGUG